GGUCUCCAAAAGGCUCUGUAUGCUCUGAAUUAGUGUUCCACCUAUGGUUCUCUUUCUCCAGUAGCCAGAAUUCAUAAGCCCAGCAAUCAAGGGGUAGAACUGGAAGUGGCACCAUUUGCUAUUACUUCUAAUGACCCACUAGCAAAACGUUUGCUUCCUGUUCCUGCAAAUGUAUGCUGUGUUGGCCUAGAGGUCUUGGUCCCAAAGGAAGGAAUGCUUCUACCAGAAGACAAAACAGUGACUCCAUGGGACCAGAAGACUGCCUCCCAACCAUUUGGGUUCCCUAUGCCUCCGAAUCAGCAGGCAAAGAAAAGAGUUACUGCACCAGUAGGGAUGAUUUAUCCUGACUACAAAAGAGAAAUUGAACUAUUUAUCCACAAUGGAGGAUCUCGCUCUGUCCACUCAGGCUGGCGUGCAGGGGCAUGAUCACAGCUUACUGCAGCCUCAAUCUUCUGGAUUCAGAGCAAGGACCUGGGAAGCAAGCUGGAGCUCAGGCUACAGAUAUGCUAGCCUGAGGCUGUGGUCUUUGUAAGGCCAGAUCACCACUUCAGAAGAUCAGUGAAAGCCACAACAAUGGCACAUUAAAAUAAUAAUAAUAAUUUGAUUGAGUAAAUAUUUCACUCUUGAGGCAACCGUCUUAAAUGUACAGCUUAAGAACUAAAAAAUUUGGCAGGUGGAGAGGGGAUGGCUGGGUAGCUCACACCUAUAAUACCAGCACUUUGGAAGUCUGAGGCUGGUGGAUCACUUGAGUCCAAGAAGCUCAAGACCAGCCUGGGUGCCAGGAAGAAACCUCAUCUCUACCAAACUACAGCAAUUAUCUGGGCAUGGUGGUGUAUAUCUGUAGUCCUAGCUAUUGGAAGGCUGAGGCGGGAAGAUCACUUAGCCCAGGAGGCAGAGGCAAGAUUGCACCACUGCAUUCUAGCUUGGACAACAGAGGUAGAUCCCAUCUCAAAAAAAAAGAAGAAGAACUGAUAAAUUUAUGCUCUUACUCUGAGAUACAACCAAUUAUUCCACCUUUAUGGUUUUCCCUCACAGUGGUUCAGUUAGCAAACACUGUAAUUGAAUUACUAUUUUAUUUUCAUCACUUAUAGGUACAAAUAUAACCUCUUAAGUCAAUAUGCAAAUAUAUUUUGCAGAAAAUUAUCAGACCAUAGAGCCAUAGUUACUAGCCACGCUACCUCCCUAGAGCCUCAGUUUCCAAAUGUGUAAAAUGGGAAUACAUAUGCUGACACACAGAAUCAACAUAAGAAGGAAGUAAUGGGAAAAUACCACCUCUGGCACAUUAGGAGGACCCAACCAUUUUAUUAUUACCUGAAGGAGUGAAUGUAAGUGAAACAACUAAGAGAAAAUAGGGAAAGAAGAAUGUCAGAACUUUCUUGGCAACUAUAUUCAACAUGUCAUCAACACAGGAUUUCAUAUGAUCUGUGGAAGCUUUUAUACAAAAUGGGUGUGGAGAUUUACAAGAUUGAGCCUGAAAAUAACUGAUGCAUUCUGACAUCCUAUAUGUUGUACUAAAUCUAAAAUAAUCGAAGAAAAAAUAAACAAAAUGACACCCAUAAAAUACACAGACAAGAUGAUACAGGAGAAACCAUAUAUAAUUAGAUAAUAACUGCUAUGACUGUGAAGAGCAGGCAAUUGCGAAUCACAAAACACUUG
Molecule: long non-coding RNA, 1656 nt
Organism: Callithrix jacchus (white-tufted-ear marmoset)
Lineage: Eukaryota; Metazoa; Chordata; Mammalia; Primates; Cebidae
Source: RefSeq, a predicted model, not a curated record